UGACAGCUGGCCUGAGGAAGCUGAGGCGGAGCCAGGCUUUUCUGUGUCCGCUGCCCUUGGUCGGCAGGACUAGCAGAGCUCAUGGUCAUUUAAGGUGCUGGCUGGGUCAGACAGCUGGCUGGGUGGCAGGCCACCCGGGGCCAAGAUGGUGCAAGCCUUCCAGGGGGCCAUGGGAGCUAUUUUUAGUGGCCUGGGCUGAUUCCCAAAGCCUGCUGACUAUUUCUGGCAUCAAAAGAUUGCCCUGAAGGAUGUGGAAAAUUUUUAUGUUGAGAAUGUCUGGUUUCCCUUUGGCUAUGCAAGGGCAGAGGAUGGAGACCAGGACAAAGGGCUUGAGGCCUGAGGGCUUCUGGGAAAAUUCACCUGCAGUGAGAGCACGGAAUGGCUGUCCUCCACCUUUUGGAGACUAGCAUGGACUGUUAAAAACACCAGCAUCAUGAUGGGUGACCAUCCCUGCUGGCUUGCCCACAGUAUCCUGGUUUUAGCAUUGGCCACUGGGACAGUCAGUCGCCUGAGUUCCAUUUCAGCCCCAUUUAGCUCCAGAAAUGAAUUAAUACGAAUAAGAAGGAACCACCUGUGUCAUCUUCCAGAAUGUUCACCAUCAUCCUACACAGUAGAGUCAGCCUCAUCUUGUCUGUUGCCUUUUUCUGACUGCUCACCUGUUUCUGCUGGACUCCUGAGAGGAGCCUAAGCUGCGUGGGCACCCUGGCUUCAGAGCUGUGCAAAGACAGUCCUUGUCUAUGGAUCUGCAAGACUGAUGGGCAGGACACAGGGUCCACAAGCAGCCCAGCGGGACAAGGGGACUUAGAUGGGGACACGGGUGUUGGAGCUGCCGCUGGGGAUCCUGUCUGAAAACAUACAACCUUCUGUGUUUUAUUGACUUGUCGGACACAUUCUUACAUCAGUUCCUGGUACACUUAGAGCUUCCGUGUGUAUCUUUUUUUAAAAGGAGAUAUUGAUUUGUUCAUUCGUGAGCAUUUAUUGAGUACCUACUAUGUACAAGCCCUCAGAGGGACAGAAAGAUAAGUAAAACUGUCCCUUGAAUCUUGAAUGCCUCAGAGUCCAGCAAGAGAUAAAGACAAGUAAACCACAGGGAGCCCUGAGUAUGUGCUGUACUGGGAGAUAUACAGGAGAUACAGUAUUUUAUUCUAUCUCACAUGUAAUUUUCUCAUUUAGAAUAUAUUAUUGCUACCACAUUUAUCAUAUAUUAUUUUAGUCACAUAUCUUAAAUAUAUUCUGUUCUCAUCUGGUUUAUAUGUUAAUUAUUUAUAUUAUCUUUGCUUUAAAUGUUAUAAUUUUG
Long non-coding RNA from Bos indicus x Bos taurus (hybrid cattle), 1297 nucleotides. The record is from Ensembl. NCBI's taxonomy places the organism in Eukaryota, Metazoa, Chordata, Mammalia, Artiodactyla, Bovidae.